UACGUAGGGGGCAAGCGUUGUCCGGAUUUAUUGGGCGUAAAGAGCGUGUAGGCGGCCAUACAGGUCAGCUGUGAAAACUCGAGGCUCAACCUCGAGACGUCGGUUGAAACCGUAUGGCUAGAGUCCGGAAGAGGAGAGUGGAAUUCCCGGUGUAGCGGUGAAAUGCGCAGAUAUCGGGAAGAACACCCGUGGCGAAGGCGGCUCUCUGGGACGGUACUGACGCUGAGACGCGAAAGCGUGGGGGAGCGAACAGGA
RNAcentral lists this ribosomal RNA (255 nucleotides) under uncultured bacterium. RNAcentral's name for it is "partial 16S ribosomal RNA". It matches the Rfam family "Bacterial small subunit ribosomal RNA", at positions 524 to 777 of the family's 1533-position model. The record is from RNAcentral.